CCGCAUAAAAAAAUAUAUUUUUUUCAAACCCAACCCAGCCCGAACCCGUGGUUGACUAAGUUGGCCUGCAGGUAACCCAUUUUGACAGCUCUAUUUAAAGGUAGGGCGUUGAUCCCUGCAUCUCCACCUUUUAGAGCUCCACCUCCCCAUUUUUUUUUUAAUUUUCAUUAAUUACAAAAGUAAUCUUUUUUUAUUUUUUAUUUUUAUUUUUUUAACCCUCUUAAAAAGUAACCCUAAUUUUUACUUUACUUUCUACUUCAUUUUUACUUUGAC
Molecule: long non-coding RNA, 273 nt
Filed under: Vigna radiata
Lineage: Eukaryota; Viridiplantae; Streptophyta; Magnoliopsida; Fabales; Fabaceae
Description: long non-coding RNA (VRAD_LNC013624)
Source: RNAcentral